AGAAUGUUAUCACGGGAGACACACGGCGGGUGCUAAUGUCCGUCGUGAAGAGGGAAACAACCCAGACCGCCAGCUAAGGUCCCAAAGUCAUGGUUAAGUGGGAAACGAUGUGGGAAGGCCCAGACAGCCAGGAUGUUGGCUUAGAAGCAGCCAUCAUUUAAAGAAAGCGUAAUAGCUCACUGGUCGAGUCGGCCUGCGCGGAAGAUGUAACGGGGCUAAACCAUGCACCGAAGCUGCGGCAGCGACACCGUGUGUUGUUGGGUAGGGGAGCGUUCUGUAAGCCUGUGAAGGUGUGCUGUGAGGCAUGCUGGAGGUAUCAGAAGUGCGAAUGCUGACAUAAGUAACGAUAAAGCGGGUGAAAAGCCCGCUCGCCGGAAGACCAAGGGUUCCUGUCCAACGUUAAUCGGGGCAGGGUGAGUCGACCCCUAAGGCGAGGCCGAAAGGCGUAGUCGAUGGGAAACGGGUUAAUAUUCCCGUACUUGGUGUUACUGCGAAGGGGGGACGGAGAAGGCUAUGUUGGCCGGGCGACGGUUGUCCCGGUUUAAGCGUGUAGGUAUGUGUUCCAGGUAAAUCCGGUUCACUUUAACACUGAGGCGUGACGACGAGGCACUACGGUGCUGAAGCAACAAAUGCCCUGCUUCCAGGAAAAGCCUCUAAGCAUCAGGUAACAUCAAAUCGUACCCCAAACCGACACAGGUGGUCAGGUAGAGAAUACCAAGGCGCUUGAGAGAACUCGGGUGAAGGAACUAGGCAAAAUGGUGCCGUAACUUCGGGAGAAGGCACGCUGACACGUAGGUGAAGUGAUUUACUCACGGAGCUGAAGUCAGCCGAAGAUACCAGCUGGCUGCAACUGUUUAUUAAAAACACAGCACUGUGCAAACACGAAAGUGGACGUAUACGGUGUGACGCCUGCCCGGUGCCGGAAGGUUAAUUGAUGGGGUCAGCGCAAGCGAAGCUCCUGAUCGAAGCCCCGGUAAACGGCGGCCGUAACUAUAACGGUCCUAAGGUAGCGAAAUUCCUUGUCGGGUAAGUUCCGACCUGCACGAAUGGCGUAAUGAUGGCCAGGCUGUCUCCACCCGAGACUCAGUGAAAUUGAACUCGCUGUGAAGAUGCAGUGUACCCGCGGCAAGACGGAAAGACCCCGUGAACCUUUACUAUAGCUUGACACUGAACAUUGAGCCUUGAUGUGUAGGAUAGGUGGGAGGCUUUGAAGUGUGGACGCCAGUCUGCAUGGAGCCGACCUUGAAAUACCACCCUUUAAUGUUUGAUGUUCUAACGUGGACCCGUGAUCCGGGUUGCGGACAGUGUCUGGUGGGUAGUUUGACUGGGGCGGUCUCCUCCUAAAGAGUAACGGAGGAGCACGAAGGUUGGCUAAUCCUGGUCGGACAUCAGGAGGUUAGUGCAAUGGCAUAAGCCAGCUUGACUGCGAGCGUGACGGCGCGAGCAGGUGCGAAAGCAGGUCAUAGUGAUCCGGUGGUUCUGAAUGGAAGGGCCAUCGCUCAACGGAUAAAAGGUACUCCGGGGAUAACAGGCUGAUACCGCCCAAGAGUUCAUAUCGACGGCGGUGUUUGGCACCUCGAUGUCGGCUCAUCACAUCCUGGGGCUGAAGUAGGUCCCAAGGGUAUGGCUGUUCGCCAUUUAAAGUGGUACGCGAGCUGGGUUUAGAACGUCGUGAGACAGUUCGGUCCCUAUCUGCCGUGGGCGCUGGAGAACUGAGGGGGGCUGCUCCUAGUACGAGAGGACCGGAGUGGACGCAUCACUGGUGUUCGGGUUGUCAUGCCAAUGGCACUGCCCGGUAGCUAAAUGCGGAAGAGAUAAGUGCUGAAAGCAUCUAAGCACGAAACUUGCCCCGAGAUGAGUUCUCCCUGAGACUUUAGGUCUCCUGAAGGAACGUUGAAGACGACGACGUUGAUAGGCCGGGUGUGUAAGCGCAGCGAUGCGUUGAGCUAACCGGUACUAAUGAACCGUGAGGCUUAACCUUACAACGCCGAAG
This 1993-nucleotide ribosomal RNA is filed under the name Salmonella enterica subsp. enterica serovar Typhi str. CT18. RNAcentral describes it as "partial 23S ribosomal RNA". It matches the Rfam family "Bacterial large subunit ribosomal RNA", at positions 966 to 2925 of the family's 2925-position model. The record is from RNAcentral. Lineage: Bacteria; Pseudomonadati; Pseudomonadota; Gammaproteobacteria; Enterobacterales; Enterobacteriaceae.